GCGCCAGUAGCUCAGCUGGAUAGAGCAACGGACUUCUAAUCCGUGGGUCGGGGGUUCGAAUCCCUCCUGGCGUACCA
RNAcentral lists this transfer RNA (77 nucleotides) under Clostridia bacterium. RNAcentral's name for it is "tRNA-Arg". It matches the Rfam family "tRNA". From Rfam's summary of the family: Transfer RNA (tRNA) molecules are approximately 80 nucleotides in length. Their secondary structure includes four short double-helical elements and three loops (D, anti-codon, and T loops). Lineage: Bacteria; Bacillati; Bacillota; Clostridia. RNAcentral also lists the same sequence under 4 other names. The record is from RNAcentral.